UCCCAGCCUUACAAAAACAAAACGGAUUAGUACGAAGUUGACAGGUAUUGGGAUUUGUGCACUCAUCGCAUGGCCUUUGUUUAAGUCUUCCAUUGACCAAAAGGAUUUCCGUUCUACAAGACUCAAUAAUUGUUGAGCAACUAUUCAAGACUCAGGUAUCUGGUGAACAACUGAAUUUCUGUGGAAGAAGUGAUGAUGAGGCUCGGAAGAAUAGGCCUCCAAGAUUACAACUGUUUAUAGGGAAGGAAAGGAUAUGAAGGAAAAUAACAAAAGAAAAGCUAAAAAAUUGGAAUUUUCGUUUAGUUUGGUGAUCAAAGCAUGGAGGGAAAAGGAAUAGUUAUCAGAUGAAGCAUCAUAUGUAUGACAAAGGGCGACAUGGCAAGAGAUGAUGGCUAGAGAAUCUUCACUUACUGUUUGCAAACAAUCUAAGUAACAAACUCAUGUGGUCGGCGAUUAAGGGAGCGUUCGAGGAAUACAAUAGGGUUGUUGACGUGCACAUGCCAAUGAGGGUCAUGCAAGACAAAACCAGCGGCACAAAGUUUGCCUUUAUUCACUAGUGACGUGCAUAUUCCCUAGAUCUUUAAGCUUUGAUGGAAGUUUAUUUUGAAUGAUGACACUGCAUUCCUCAGUAAGUGCAAUUGUCUCAAAAUAUUCUAAU
Long non-coding RNA from Theobroma cacao (cacao), 658 nucleotides. RefSeq lists it as uncharacterized. The record is from RefSeq and is a predicted model, not a curated record. NCBI's taxonomy places the organism in Eukaryota, Viridiplantae, Streptophyta, Magnoliopsida, Malvales, Malvaceae.